Molecule: ribosomal RNA, 464 nt
Filed under: uncultured Opitutus sp.
Lineage: Bacteria; Pseudomonadati; Verrucomicrobiota; Opitutia; Opitutales; Opitutaceae
Description: bacterial SSU rRNA
Rfam family: Bacterial small subunit ribosomal RNA
Source: RNAcentral
CCUACGGGUGGCUGCAGUGGGGAAUCAUUCACAAUGGGCGAAAGCCUGAUGGUGCGACGCCGCGUGAGGGAUGAAGGCCUUCGGGUUGUAAACCUCUGUCACUGGGGAAGAAACGCUUCAAGUUAAUAGCUUGAAGCCUGACUUAACCCAGAGAGGAAGCAGUGGCUAACUCUGUGCCAGCAGCCGCGGUAAUACAGAGACUGCAAGCGUUAUUCGGAUUCACUGGGCGUAAAGGGUGCGCAGGCGGCCGUGUGUGUUAGGUGUGAAAGCCCGGGGCUUAACCUCGGAAUUGCGCCUAAAACUACACGGCUAGAGCAUUGGAGAGGGUAGCGGAAUUCACGGUGUAGCAGUGAAAUGCGUAGAUAUCGUGAGGAACACCAGAGGCGAAGGCGGCUACCUGGACAAUUGCUGACGCUCAGGCACGAAAGCGUGGGGAGCAAACGGGAUUAGAUACCCCGGUAGUC